UACGAAGGACCCGAGCGUUAUCCGGAUUUAUUGGGUUUAAAGGGUGCGUAGGCGUCCUGGAAAGUUACGGUUGAAUUCUCCUUGCUUAACAAGGAAACUGGCCGUAAAACUAUCAGGAUUGAGUACAUUUGAAGCGGGCGGAAUGUGUCAUGUAGCGGUGAAAUGCUUAGAUAUGACACAGAACACCAAUUGCGAAGGCAGCUCGCUAAACUGUAACUGACGCUGAGGCACGAAAGCGUGGGGAUCAAACAGG
This 253-nucleotide ribosomal RNA is filed under the name uncultured bacterium. Its description in RNAcentral is "partial 16S ribosomal RNA". It matches the Rfam family "Bacterial small subunit ribosomal RNA", at positions 524 to 776 of the family's 1533-position model. The record is from RNAcentral.